UACCCGGAUGAGCACGCCGACGCCGAGUCGAGUUCGGAUCUGCUGUUAGGAAAAUUUAAUAAACUACAUAUUUUAUACUUUUAUAAACGGAUUAAACUCGAUAUUUAGCGCCGCGGGUUAAUAAUAUUAAUGUUCUGCUCGAGUUAAAACAGUUUAAAGCGCUUUUUUUGAGUUUAUUAACGAUUAAAGCUGGAUUAAUGUGAGGUGUUGGAUGAUUCUGCUGAUGGUGAUGGUGAUGAUGGUGAACGUGGUGUUUGUAGAAAGUGUGGAUGAGAGGGUGGAUCUUCAGUACAGUGGUCGUCUUCAGGUUUGAUUGAAACCUGGACGUGCUGUGAUUCACUCUUUCCAUCAUCUUCUGGACCACAGUCAGCGAUCGUCACCAUGAUGUGUGAAGAAGAGACUGGAGCGGGAAUGUGCACCACCAGUACAUGUUAAUUUCUCUCCAUUAUGUUGUAAUUACAAAUAAAUGUGUCGUGUAAUUUAGAA
Molecule: long non-coding RNA, 486 nt
Organism: Astyanax mexicanus (Mexican tetra)
Lineage: Eukaryota; Metazoa; Chordata; Actinopteri; Characiformes; Acestrorhamphidae
Exons: 4
Source: RefSeq, a predicted model, not a curated record